Molecule: small nucleolar RNA, 93 nt
Organism: Alligator mississippiensis (American alligator)
Lineage: Eukaryota; Metazoa; Chordata; Crocodylia; Alligatoridae
Rfam family: Small nucleolar RNA U83B
About the family: U83B belongs to the C/D family of snoRNAs. U83B like U83A has no documented RNA target and they share the same host gene with the C/D box snoRNA U43 (RPL3).
Source: Rfam
ACUGUUCAUUGAUAAGACCAUGGAACAAGCACUGUAUAUAGUGUCUGACAUCCAUGAGGAAACAUGCCAUGCUGCCUUCCUUCUGAGAACAUC